CUCCUCGUGGAGUCCUGCCCGAAACCUAGAGAGAGUAACAGUCUCCUCUUCGAUUACACUGCACUUCAUAUGAAACUCUUCAAAUCGUGCAAUGUAAUCGGCAACGGUUGAUGUCCCUUGAGUUAGUUUCUGCCACCUAUCCAUAAGGCGUUGUCGGUAAGAGAAUGACAUAUACUUCUCAUUCAGCUUUUUUUUCAUAUCCUCCUAGGUGGUGAUACGAGGAAGCCUUUGAGUCUCACGCAUAUGUUCAACAUUAUGCCAGUACCAGUGAGCUUGCCCAAUAAGCUUCAUUUUAGCAAAUCAUACUUUUCUAUCGUCAGUCAUUUCGUAUCACUCAAAAUAAUUAUCCAUGGCUGCUCUCCAAUCAAGAUACACGCUUGGCUCUAGUUGACCAGCAAAGAUGGGGGUAUCUACUCGUACGGUACGAAGUAGCCGUUCGUCAAGAUCGCGUUGGUGAUCAAGAGGAUGUUAGUUCCUAGGAGGAUGGGGAAGAUCUACAGGCGGUGUGGCCAACCGAACUCAGGAUAGGCUGCGAUUGGGGUUGACGGAUCAGGAGUCCUAAUGUGUUGCAUUAGAGCACGGACCUCUCGCUUGAAUUCUUCAUGGUGAGCUUGUAAGGCAGCGAUUCGUUCCACGAGAUCUUGCAGAACUUUGGAAUCCAUGGUAGCUAAAAGGGUCUUAAAAUGAGUGAGGAGGUACUUUCUACCACUACGGGUUGGCAUGUAAGGACUACACUAGUUGAUGAUAUGAAAUGCAAUGCUACUAAUGAACCCUAACUGACCAAAUGUGAUGCAGGACAACCUACUAAUGCAACCUACUAAGAAUUCGGAAAUCAACAAAUUUUCACAAAAGUAACUUAAAAUUAAAUGUUACCGAGUUGUACUUUGGUUAUUUCAGAAUUAAAGUAUGAAAUUAAUCACUUAUAAGAAAU
Molecule: long non-coding RNA, 931 nt
Filed under: Phoenix dactylifera (date palm)
Lineage: Eukaryota; Viridiplantae; Streptophyta; Magnoliopsida; Arecales; Arecaceae
Description: long non-coding RNA (PDAC_LNC005249)
Source: RNAcentral